CCGACUCUGACGUUGUGGGAGUUUCCUUGUAUAACGUGUCGAAAGCUCAUCGGAUCAUCCAAUCGGUGCACCAAACACGGAUGGAUCUGAGAGGACUCGGUGGACAAAGACAAGCUCGAUUUUGUAUAUACUCACUAGUGGGGCGACGACAGUAUUAAGGGAAUCUGUUCCCAGGCGGCGAUGCUUUUGUUCUAUUUCUUGACCUCCUCGAGUAGGGGGAUGAGGCCUCACCCUCGUGGUUACGCUCCCAUUCCCAACCCAGUAAUCUACACUGUCACGUGCGCGAUCGCGUGUGAGGGAGUGUAAGUGAGAGAGCUUCAUGACCCUUUUGGCAGUCGAGUGAUUGGAAACCCAGUGAAGAAGAAGAAGAAGCAGAAGGAGGAGAAGAAGAGAGUGAGUAGUGAGUGAGUGAGUCGAAAGGUAGGCGGAGAAGUGGCCGAUCGUGAAAGUGUUGUGAACGCCGAGUAGGGUUACAAGCACCGGAUCAUCGCGGUCGGACAUGUUACUAGAAGCGAUUCAAUUUACGUCGCUGUUUUGGUAAAGGUCAGUGGAGGUCAGAGGAUUGCACAGGACCUUCUGGCCAGCUGUUUUUGUCAGGGGGACAGACGUUAGCAGUAUCGGUGCAGAAGUACCAGCUUGUUUUUGUCACUUCUUCUGUUUCAGAUCCUUUACAUGAAAACUAGGUUUGAAGUCUUGCCGAUGCUGGUUUGCAUCGCGGAUCAUUCAUCCGAGGAUGUAUAGUAUCUUGAUCUGUUCUUCACAAAGAGUUCAGAAGAAUCCGUAGUUAACAGUUUGGGACCCUUUCCACCCUGAUUUAGUUUUACUUCUGACCUGUUAAAUCAGUGAGCAAAGUAGGAGCACUCUUACAACUGGCUAUUUUGAGAUGCGAGACACUAGUGUUUAAGAGCUUGGCACGUCAAGAAUUUAGGCAGCAAACAAAGUAGUGAGAGGAAAUUGAUUCCUCCACAAUGCUUCUUCCGGACUUGUUCCAGUGAUCCGCCUGCGUGUUGCUAGCUGAUUCGGCUUUUCCACGGCUACGGAUCUGGAUGUUCAUAGAUCACCGAGCAGAAGCCCAGUCCCCUCGGGCAAUUCUGGUGAUUCAACGAAAUAACGAAGACUCCUCAACUUCUUAUCCUAUUCCUUGUCCCAGUUAAUAAAUCCUCAUUUCUUGGCGGAUCCCAUCAAUGAAAUAAUUGCAGUGCUGUCCCCGGUUCUGAUCGUGUUUUGAUGUAAUUACAUCAUAUGUGUUAAACAUAAGAUCAGCUAACAGAUUUUCGAAGACGCACUCCGCAGACGUUUCGAUACAAUUUUCUGCUUCAGGACCAUUUUCCAUGCUGUUCCUUAAUUCAUCCGUCGAAGAGUUCCCUCCCUGAUCUUCCGUACGCGCAUAAGUAUCCGCUAAUCGACAUAAAAUGACGUCCGAUUUCCGAUCCUCCGAGUUCAUCAACCUUCUCAAUGUCCCAACAGCGCCAGGUAUACACCCGAGCGAUCACAACAGAUUUAGCGAGACGAUGCCGUUCCAGUUCCGACCGGAGGAACAGUACGUUUAUAGUAUGCACAGGGAUACAAAGCCCGCUACAUCAACCAGAGAGAACGAUUUUGCCAACCGGAUACAAUCAUUUAUGAAUGGCGGAGUUGCCCUUAGCAACAAUGUGAAUCGGGGGGAUGCAGGCCCAUCAUCAGGCUUCAUGAGAUCAGUCGGACCGGUUCUGGACGGAAUGGCUUCUCCGCCAACCCAGGUCGAUAACCAGCAUGAGCAGAACACAGGAGCUCCAAGUCGUUACGAGGCACAAAAACGCCGGGACUGGAACACUUUCGGACAGUAUCUUCGGAACCAUCGCCCACCCUUACCCCUAGCGAGAUGCACGGGAGCUCAUGUAUUGGAGUUCAUGAGAUACCUGGACCAAUUUGGAAAGACGAAGGUGCACAUUGCUUCAUGCUCGUUCUUUGGACUGCCACAUCCUCCCCAUCCAUGUCCUUGCCCUUUGCGGCAAGCGUGGGGUUCCCUCGACGCCCUGAUUGGAAGGUUACGGGCGGCUUUUGAAGAGAAUGGGGGGAUGCCUGAAAGCAACCCCUUUGGAGCCAGACAGGUGCGGCUGUACUUGCGAGAGGUUCGGGAGAUGCAAGCUAAGGCCAGGGGAAUCGCAUACGAGAAGAAGAAACGAAAGCGAAUGCCGCCACCUUCUACGUUAGGAGUAAAUGGGGUGAUCGCUAACGGCACAAGUAAUGGGGUUGGUGGUGUGAACAAUGGCGACGUUCAUCCUCUCCGGUCACUGCAGUAAUAACAAAGUUUUGACCUCCGAAACAGAUAUACACACACACAGUAUACACAUACAUGUUCAUAUCAAGCUCGGCGCCAAUGAAGGGAUGGUGUUCCUCUACAAUAGGUGAAGAUGUUUCAAUUGUCACGGACUUGACAACAACGGUUACGACCAGAGCUGCUUCCAUGCGCAAAGGAAAAGACGAUGCUUGUACCUUCACUAUGUACUUGUAGGUUCCGCAAGGCACAGGUGUGUAUGCUGUCUAUGCUGGAUUCAUUCACCUGCUCUAGGAUCACCGUAUCUAUUUUCAUUAUCAAUUUCAGCUCACAGUAAGAGCAAACUGUUUCUAGCUAUUCACUUCAUCUGUUCCACACCUGGUAAUUCCCCUCUUGAUAGGGAAAUGAAUGGGAGAAUCCUGCAUUCACGUUUAAUAAGUUCUGCCCAUGAAACAGUGGUAAAGAGUAACAGCUAGACGACCUGCUGCAUUACAUCUUUGAAAUUUUAUUUCUGGUUUGCACUUUUGAAUUAUUCCGCGGAACAAUGAACUGUCGAGGAUCUACGACAGCGAAAAGGAAGCUCUUCAGUUGCCUCGUAGAAGAUCUGUGCUCGGACUUGGGUGACGAAGUUCCUUGCUUUUGUUCACUCAAUCAGUCGACUUAACUAUAUAACCUUUUCCAUGAUUAUGUUUUGAAGAAUUAAUUGUUCAGACCUCAGGAGAGGCUAAAAGAAGCAAAAAUAGCUCUUAAUUGAAUCUGUUUGGUU
Non-coding RNA from Physcomitrium patens, 3023 nucleotides. Lineage: Eukaryota; Viridiplantae; Streptophyta; Bryopsida; Funariales; Funariaceae. The record is from RefSeq and is a predicted model, not a curated record.